Mytilus trossulus (common blue mussel) is the source of this 1012-nucleotide long non-coding RNA. RefSeq lists it as uncharacterized. NCBI's taxonomy places the organism in Eukaryota, Metazoa, Mollusca, Bivalvia, Mytilida, Mytilidae. The record is from RefSeq and is a predicted model, not a curated record. The transcript has 3 exons.
UAUAGGCAUUUUAAAUUAUUUGUUUAUAAUGGGUUUGAUUUUGAGGACAUCUACAUCAAUGCUGAACAAUUUUAUAACACAUUAAAAAGAAGAUGUGGUAUGAUUGCCAUUGAGACAACUGUCCACAAAAGACCAAAAUGACACAGACAUUAACAAAUAUAGGUCACUGUACAGCCUUCAACAAUGAGCAAAGCCCAUACUGCAUAGUCAACUAUAAAAGGUUCUGAUAAGACAAUGUAAAACAAUUCAAACAAGAAAACUAACGGCCUUAUUUAUGUAAAAAAAAUGAACGAAAAACAAAUAUGUAACACAUAAACAAACGACAACCACUGAAUUACAGGCUCCUGACUUGGGACAAGCAUGUACAUAAAUAAUGUGGCGGGGUUAAACAUGUUAGCAGGAUCCCAACCCUCCCCCUAACCUGGGACAGUGGUAUAACAGUACAACAUAAGAACGAACUAUAAAAAUCAGUUGAAAAAGGCUCAACUCAUCAGAUGCACAAAAAUACAAAUGGAUGUGAACAACAACUUGUAUUCAAUUGAAUUGUUUUGUACCUUAGGUAUCAAGUUAACAUACAGAAAAUGAUAGUAUAAGACAAAUUCAUAAGAAAUGUGACAAGGCAUAAUUUUGUUACACUUUUAAAAAAAAUCUUCGCCCUUAGGGAAAUAACCUUUUAAGGGUUGACAAUUUUGGAUAUUCACCUUUCCUAAGGGCCAUAAUUGUAUAUUGUUAACAUGAUGGUUAGCAUCACAAGUUUCCUUUGGGUAACUUGCUUGAGGAGUAAAGAGAGCUGUUUAAGUUGAAAGUGUCACCUUUGCUGCCUUGUGUGGUACAAUCUUCAGACAAUAUCCUGCAAACCGUGGCUGAACUGUUACUAUCUUUUUUUAGUAGAAUCCUUAGACAGUAAUCUUGUGGCAGAAUGAGUUGUAAACAAAUUGUUUUUAUUCCUGUAUUGAGUUUCAAAUUGGAUAUUUUUUAUUUAUAUUAUUUGUAUUCCAUUUGCAUUCAAUUA